This 813-nucleotide non-coding RNA is filed under the name Coptotermes amanii. Lineage: Eukaryota; Metazoa; Arthropoda; Insecta; Blattodea; Rhinotermitidae. The record is from RNAcentral.
GAGGAGUUUUAUUCUUGCUCAUUCGUUCGUUAUUUUGCUUGCUCUAUAUGUAAGUUUGUGCGUGGUUGUUCAUUGGUUCUAGAUGGUCUGGUGGGGUUGGCUGUUAAUUCUCAUUAGUUGUUAUUAUUAAUCAAGUAUCCUUGUAGUUAGUAAUGUAUUUUAGUUUCGGUUAAAUUUUGUGCCAGCAGCCGCGGUUAUACUUUGGAUGCAAUUGAACGUGUUUGGCUUAUUGGUAGUUACAUGGUUUGGAUUAGUGGGUUUUAUGUUGGGAGGUUGGUUGGGUGAAAUUUUUAUUUUUGUUAUUUUUCCUUUUUUUUUGUUUGGAGGCUAUGAAAUUCUUUCUUUAAACUAGGAUUAGAUACCCUAUUAUUUUAGGAUGUUAAUUUUUGUGUCGGAGUAGUAUUAGGUAUGUUCUUGAAACUUAAAGAAUUUGGCGGUAUCUUAUUCCGUUCAGAGGAAUCUGUCUCGUUAUCGAUAGUCCGCGUUGGACCUUACUUAGUUGUUAUGGUUUGUAUACCGCCGUUUAUUGAUUAUGCUUUUAGGGUUUUUAAUUUUCUGGUUUCUUUAUUUUGAUUUAUUUCAGGUCAAGGUGCAGCUUGUUUCUAAGUGUUAUUGAUGGAUUACAUUGGUUUAUUGUUGUUUGGAUUGUCAGUUGAAUUAUUGGUAUGAAAUUGGAUUUGAUUGUAAUGUUUUGAAGAUUGUUUUCGUGAUAAUUGGUUCUAAGAUAUGUACACAUCGCCCGUCGCUCUCGUUUGUUGUUAAUGAGAUAAGUCGUAACAAAGUGGUUGUACCGGAAGGUGUGGCUGGAGUGAG